This 478-nucleotide ribosomal RNA is filed under the name uncultured bacterium. Its description in RNAcentral is "partial 16S ribosomal RNA". It matches the Rfam family "Bacterial small subunit ribosomal RNA", at positions 28 to 523 of the family's 1533-position model. The record is from RNAcentral.
GACGAACGCUGGCGGCGUGCUUAACACAUGCAAGUCGAGCGAUGAAGCUCCUUCGGGAGUGGAUUAGCGGCGGACGGGUGAGUAACACGUGGGCAAACUGCGUUAUAGAGAGGAAUAGCCAUUCGAAAGGAUGAUUAAUACCUCAUAAUAUUGUAGCUUGGCAUGGAGCAACAAUCAAAGGAGCAAUCCACGAUCAGGUGGGCCCGCGGCGCAUUAGCGAGUUGGAGAGGGAACGGCUCACCAAGGCGACGACGAGUAGUCGACCUGAGAGGGUGAUCGACCACAUUGGGACUGAGACACGGCCCAGACUCCUACGGGAGGCAGCAGUGGGGAAUAUUGCACAAUGGGGAAAACCCUGAUGCAGCAACGCCGCGUGAGUGAUGACGGCCUUCAAGUUGUAAAGCUCUGUCUUCAGGGACGAUAAUGACGGUACCUGAGGAGGAAGCCACGGCUAACUACGUGCCAGCCGCCGCGGUAA